RNAcentral lists this ribosomal RNA (263 nucleotides) under Verrucomicrobiota bacterium. RNAcentral describes it as "Verrucomicrobia bacterium partial 16S ribosomal RNA". It matches the Rfam family "Bacterial small subunit ribosomal RNA", at positions 1279 to 1533 of the family's 1533-position model. The record is from RNAcentral. Lineage: Bacteria; Pseudomonadati; Verrucomicrobiota.
AAACUGGGCCCAGUUCAGAUUGAAGUCUGCAACUCGACUUCAUGAAGCCGGAAUCGCUAGUAAUGGCGUAUCAGCUACGACGCCGUGAAUACGUUCCCGGGCCUUGUACACACCGCCCGUCACAUCAUGGGAGUCGCUUGUAGCCGAAGUCGGCGUGCUAACCGCAAGGAGGCAGCCGCCUACGCUAUGAGCGGUAACUGGGAUGAAGUCGUAACAAGGUAGCCGUAGGGGAACCUGCGGCUGGAUCACCUCCUUUCUAAGGA